UGUCGUAAUUUCCGUGAGCGAAUGUCAACAAUUCCUGAAGAGCAGUGGGAAGCUGCUGGGAUGUGCUUUCAGAUGCCUACUUGCUGAGCUCUGAAUUUACAGUAUUGUUUAUCAGAUUUCUCAGUAUUUACACUCACUUUCCAUUCCAGUAAACAGAUGACAUAUUAUAUGAUACUACUGUUCAAAAACCCCAAGGAAAUGAAAACCAGAAACUCUCUGCAGCAGAAACCCGCAGACACAAAAGAUGCUGAGCUUAGGUUCCUUCCAAUGUCUUUUUACUCUGUCCAUUAUUUAUAGGCAACACAGUUCAUUUGUAUUUAAAGUAGCUACAAACACUGCUGGUAGACAGGCAUUGCUCAGUAGGGUCAGACUCUCAGUAUUUUUAACUCAGAACCUGUCUUCUACAGUGACAGUUUCCAGAUGCUUUAGAAGAAAUAUUUCUGUAACGGAUGAUAAUAGGAAAGCCGGCCCCCAAAUCAAAUUCUUCUUUACUGAAGGAACUCAGCUUGUGACAAGGAGCCUGAGGAAUACACUCUGUGUGUUUUGAAACGCAGUUGACUGGAGAAAGAGAGCAUGUCCCUGUUUGUACAUCUGUGCCUAGCUCUGACUGAAUCCUGUGUGACUCUGGCACUCACUGUCAUCCUGGAGCAGGUUGCCCAGACUAGCUGCUAAAGAAUUCUCUUUAAAGACCAUCUUUGAGCUCAGCCAUGUAAUUUUAGUAGAGGAUCUGCUCUGAUACAUGUUAGCAAGAGGGUGACACUCCUUGUAUUUCCAUGGUGAGCCAACCUAGACCUCUAGGGCUGCUGUUAUUCUUGUGUUUCCUGUUUUGUAUGCAUUUAUUUUUUGUUAACAGCAGAAGUUUUCCUCUUUCCUAGAGCACAGAAGAAGACAAACCAUCAAAGACAAGCACAUUCACUGAGGUGACAAAGCCAUCGGUAUGAGCUCAUUCAUUCUGCAUCUGGACUUUGAAGCAUCUGCACAGCGAUGAGGGCCCUAUCUGAAAGAGCUGUGUGUUACUUUUUAAGGGAAUGAGCAAGUGUACAACCUCAUUAACAUGAGUUACUGUUGUUAAAUGGCCAGGAGAUAUGAAAAGAAGAAGCAGGUUGGCAGGCUCUUGUGUUUCAUGUGCCAAAUGAGUAUGGAAUUGAAGAGGUUGCCGUGAAAAGGAAACUUCUUCCACUAGUGAUUUAUACUAGUGCAAGAAACACUAGUGAUUUAUAGCGUGAGCGCCUUAAGCAUAAACCAGAAAUACUUUAGGGCUUAGGAAAGACUGAGAUUUAAUAUGUAUUUCUGUGAUGGUAAAGUAAAUUCUUCUUUUUUUAAUAGCAUCAUCUGUAAAGUUUCUUUUUAAAGAGGUCAGUCCACUAGAUAUACAGCAGAUACGGGAUAUGGAAAGCUCAGCUUUCUAAAAGCCACUACAGAUGUAGUCCCUAGUCCCGGUAUCUGUGGCUAAUCUCACAACUAUUCACAUAUGCUCUGCCCAAGAUACAUGAUUUACAAUAUAAACCAUAACCCAAAACAACCUUUUUAUCAACCAUCUGCUGCAGUCUGAGGUUUACCCAAAUAAGAAUGGUUAUGGUGCUUAGCUCUCAGCGGAUUUUGUGGAAAGCAGAAAACACAUCCAUUCCUCAUCUUAAGGUCCAGGAUAUUCCAUGACAAAGCUCCCAUCCCUUUGUUAGAGAGCCCCGGUCCAUGAGAAGCAAGAACUGAAUUGUCUAACAUUUAUGGGACAUAGCUGCAAGACAGACAAAUCCCCUCUGGCAACCAGGCCCUUCUGUGCGAGGUGAUGUUCAUACGUGCUCAGGACGGGACUGUUCUGUUCCAAGGACCUCAACAGACUUGGGAAAUGAAAAAUUAUAGGUGA
Molecule: long non-coding RNA, 1864 nt
Organism: Pezoporus occidentalis (night parrot)
Lineage: Eukaryota; Metazoa; Chordata; Aves; Psittaciformes; Psittacidae
Exons: 3
Source: RefSeq, a predicted model, not a curated record